Molecule: ribosomal RNA, 257 nt
Filed under: uncultured prokaryote
Description: partial 16S ribosomal RNA
Rfam family: Bacterial small subunit ribosomal RNA
Source: RNAcentral
UACGGGGGAUGCAAGCGUUAUCCGGAUUUAUUGGGUUUAAAGGGUGCGUAGGCGGUCUGGUAAGUCAGCGGUGAAAUUUCCGAGCUCAACUUGGAACGUGCCGUUGAUACUGUCGGACUAGAAUGCGGAUGCCGUGGGAGGAAUGUGUGGUGUAGCGGUGAAAUGCAUAGAUAUCACACAGAACACCGAUUGCGAAGGCAUCUCACGAAUCCGCGAUUGACGCUGAGGCACGAAAGCGUGGGGAUCAAACAGGAUUA